GACGAACGCUGGCGGCGUGCCUAAUACAUGCAAGUUGAGCGAUGAAGAUUGGUGCUUGCACCAAUUUGAAGAGCAGCGAACGGGUGAGUAACGCGUGGGGAAUCUGCCUUUGAGCGGGGGACAACAUUUGGAAACGAAUGCUAAUACCGCAUAACAACUUUAAACAUAAGUUUUAAGUUUGAAAGAUGCAAUUGCAUCACUCAAAGAUGAUUCCGCGUUGUAUUAGCUAGUUGGUGAGGUAAAGGCUCACCAAGGCGAUGAUACGUAGCCGACCUGGGAGGGUGGUCGGCCACAUUGGGACUGAGACACGGCCCAAACUCCUACGGGAGGCAGCAGUAGGGAAUCUUCGGCAAUGGACGAAAGUCUGACCGAGCAACGCCGCGUGAGUGAAGAAGGUUGUCGGAUCGUAAAACUCGGUUGGUAGAGAAGAACGUUGGUGAGAGUGGAAAGCUCAUCAAGUGACGGUAACUACCCAGAAAGGGACGGCUAACUACGUG
This 497-nucleotide ribosomal RNA is filed under the name uncultured bacterium. RNAcentral's name for it is "partial 16S ribosomal RNA". It matches the Rfam family "Bacterial small subunit ribosomal RNA", at positions 28 to 507 of the family's 1533-position model. The record is from RNAcentral.